GUCGAACGGCAGCACGGGAGCUUGCUCCUGGUGGCGAGUGGCGAACGGGUGAGUAAUACAUCGGAACGUACCCAGGAGUGGGGGAUAACGUAGCGAAAGUUACGCUAAUACCGCAUAUUCUGUGAGCAGGAAAGCGGGGGAUCGCAAGACCUCGCGCUCUUGGAGCGGCCGAUGUCGGAUUAGCUAGUUGGUGAGGUAAAAGCUCACCAAGGCGACGAUCCGUAGCAGGUCUGAGAGGAUGAUCUGCCACACUGGGACUGAGACACGGCCCAGACUCCUACGGGAGGCAGCAGUGGGGAAUUUUGGACAAUGGGGGCAACCCUGAUCCAGCCAUGCCGCGUGAGUGAAGAAGGCCUUCGGGUUGUAAAGCUCUUUCGGCGGGGAAGAAAUGGCAACGGCUAAUAUCCGUUGUUGAUGACGGUACCCGCAUAAGAAGCACCGGCUAACUACGUGCCAGCAGCCGCGGUAAUACGUAGGGUGCGAGCGUUAAUCGGAAUUACUGGGCGUAAAGCGUGCGCAGGCGGUUUCGUAAGACAGACGUGAAAUCCCCGGGCUCAACCUGGGAACUGCGUUUGUGACUGCGAGGCUAGAGUACGGCAGAGGGGGGUAGAAUUCCACGUGUAGCAGUGAAAUGCGUAGAGAUGUGGAGGAAUACCGAUGGCGAAGGCAGCCCCCUGGGUUAGUACUGACGCUCAUGCACGAAAGCGUGGGGAGCAAACAGGAUUAGAUACCCU
This 734-nucleotide ribosomal RNA is filed under the name Azospira oryzae. Its description in RNAcentral is "bacterial SSU rRNA". It matches the Rfam family "Bacterial small subunit ribosomal RNA", at positions 61 to 788 of the family's 1533-position model. The record is from RNAcentral. Lineage: Bacteria; Pseudomonadati; Pseudomonadota; Betaproteobacteria; Rhodocyclales; Rhodocyclaceae.